AGUGAACGCUGGCGGUAGGCCUAACACAUGCAAGUCGAACGGCAGCACAGUAAGAGCUUGCUCUUACGGGUGGCGAGUGGCGGACGGGUGAGGCAUACAUCGGAAUCUACUUUUUCGUGGGGGAUAACGUAGGGAAACUUACGCUACUACCGCAUACGACCUACGGGUGAAAGCAGGGGAUCUUCGGACCUUGCGCGAUUGAAUGAGCCGAUGCCGGAUUAGCUAGUUGGCGGGGUAAAGGCCCACCAAGGCGACGAUCCGUAGCUGGUCUGAGAGGAUGAUCAGCCACACUGGAACUGAGACACGGUCCAGACUCCUACGGGAGGCAGCAGUGGGGAAUAUUGGACAAUGGGCGCAAGCCUGAUCCAGCCAUACCGCGUGAGUGAAGUAGGCCUUCGGAUUGUAAAGCCCUUUUGUUGGGAAAGAAAAGCAGCAGGUUAAUACCCCGCUGUUCUGACGGUACCCAAAGAAUAAGCACCGGCUAACUUCGUG
Molecule: ribosomal RNA, 492 nt
Filed under: uncultured bacterium
Lineage: Bacteria
Description: partial 16S ribosomal RNA
Rfam family: Bacterial small subunit ribosomal RNA
Source: RNAcentral